This 379-nucleotide unclassified non-coding RNA is filed under the name Hevea brasiliensis (rubber tree). Lineage: Eukaryota; Viridiplantae; Streptophyta; Magnoliopsida; Malpighiales; Euphorbiaceae. The record is from RNAcentral.
CUUCAAAGCCUCACUCAUGGUCGGGUGUGCAUGGCAAGUGCGGGCAAUGUCCUCGCUGGCAGCCCCAUACUGCAACGCCAGCACAGCUUCAUGUAUCAGCUCCCCCGCAUUGGGGGACAUUAUAUGAACUCCCAAUACCUUGUCCGUCUCUUUAUCAGCUAUUAUCUUCACAAUUCCCUCAGCAUCAUCAAUAGCCUUAGCACGGCUAUUGGCCAUGAAAGGGAAUUUGCCUACCCGAUACGCUACACCAGUCGCCUUCACCUGCUCCUCCGUCAUCCCCACUGAUGCCACUUCGGGAUGUGUGUAUACCACACCCGGCACUUUGUCAUAGUCGACAUGGCCCUCCUUGCCUGCAAUAAACUCCACACACGCGAAACCA